UACGUAGGGUGCAAGCGUUGUCCGGAAUUAUUGGGCGUAAAGAGCUCGUAGGCGGUUUGUCGUGUCUGCUGUGAAAACCCGAGGCUCAACCUCGGGCCUGCAGUGGGUACGGGCAGACUAGAGUGCGGUAGGGGAGAUUGGAAUUCCUGGUGUAGCGGUGGAAUGCGCAGAUAUCAGGAAGAACACCCGUGGCUAAGGCGGCUCUCUAGUACGGUACUGACGCUGAGACGCGAAAGCGUGGGGAGCGAACAGG
This 253-nucleotide ribosomal RNA is filed under the name uncultured bacterium. RNAcentral's name for it is "partial 16S ribosomal RNA". It matches the Rfam family "Bacterial small subunit ribosomal RNA", at positions 524 to 776 of the family's 1533-position model. The record is from RNAcentral.